UCUCCGUUGGUGAAUCAGCGGAGGGAUCAUUACAGAGUUGCAAAACUCCCAAACCAUUGUGAACGUUACCUAUCCCGUUGCUUCGGCGGGCGGCCCGGGCUCCGCGCCCGGCGCCCCCCGGCCCCCCGUGGGCGCCCGCCGGAGGUAAACCAAACCCUUGAAUUGCAUGGCCUCUCUGAGUCUUCUGUACUGAAUAAGUCAAAACUUUCAACAACGGAUCUCUUGGUUCUG
This 231-nucleotide unclassified non-coding RNA is filed under the name plant metagenome. Its description in RNAcentral is "partial contains small subunit ribosomal RNA, internal transcribed spacer 1, and 5.8S ribosomal RNA". The record is from RNAcentral.